GUCAGGAUGGCCGAGCAGUCUAAGGCACUGCGUUCAGGUCGCAGUCUCCCCUGGAGGCGUGGGUUCCAAUCCCACUUCUGACA
This 83-nucleotide transfer RNA is filed under the name Salmo salar (Atlantic salmon). It matches the Rfam family "tRNA". From Rfam's summary of the family: Transfer RNA (tRNA) molecules are approximately 80 nucleotides in length. Their secondary structure includes four short double-helical elements and three loops (D, anti-codon, and T loops). RNAcentral also lists the same sequence under 1 other name. Lineage: Eukaryota; Metazoa; Chordata; Actinopteri; Salmoniformes; Salmonidae. The record is from Rfam by way of RNAcentral.